Long non-coding RNA from Pungitius pungitius (ninespine stickleback), 799 nucleotides. RefSeq lists it as uncharacterized. Lineage: Eukaryota; Metazoa; Chordata; Actinopteri; Perciformes; Gasterosteidae. The record is from RefSeq and is a predicted model, not a curated record. The transcript is spliced from 2 exons.
CAGUACGACAUCUGGGUAACUUUGCCUUUGUUGGCAUACUGCAUAUUCUACAUGGUUUGGUAUGGUAUGCAUUUGAAAACAGCCCAUGUGAAAGUAAAGUUCAUAGCCUAAUGGAUUUAUGACAUGCUGUUCACACAAUUUAGUGUAUCGUGAGAGUAUUUUAGUUGAGGAAUACUCCAACGUCUGUGGCUUUGUUAUGGAAACACUAUGGUUGGUUUUGAUGUCAUUCAAGGAAAGCUUUAUUUUCAAAUGGCAGCCGUUGAUUUGUGUUGGAGGUAACAACUAGUGUCAGUGAUAAAGAGGUAGAUAAUGUUUAACAGGAAUAUUGUGGCGAUGUAUCAAAGGUUCAAUUCUAUGGUCCUGCCGGAUCCACCUACAAUCUUCAAGAGACUUCUGUCCUCUGGUGAGUGUCGUUCUGAACCGGUAGCAUGGUGGAAUUGGCUUUCUACCCGGCGGUGGCGCUGAUGUAUUUCUUUGGGGUGAUGAAAGCCACACAGGACGACCGGGUGGAGCUGGACGAACGUGCGUCGGUCAACGUUUUCUGUCUGUUCGUGUUGGCCCAGCCGCUGUGUCUCGUACUGGGAGAGUACACUGGCAUGGCUACGUACCUCCUCACGGCGCUGGUCUCGUACAACUUCCUGCCUUGGAGGACCACAACAGAGCCUGCAAAGGAGAAAGAAUCAAUAAAGAAGUCAAAGUGAAAGCAAGAAAACAUUCUGAAUUCAAACUGUUUGUAAAGGAAAGAAAUAUUUAUGUAAAGAAUAAGCCUUGAAUGUUAAUAAAUUAAUGUGUAGCUCAA